GAAGAGUGGUACGAACGGUACGGCGGUAGACUUAAGAUCUACUGGAAGACUUCCGGCGCGAGUUCGAACCUCGCAUCCUUCA
Molecule: transfer RNA, 82 nt
Filed under: Ascoidea rubescens DSM 1968
Lineage: Eukaryota; Fungi; Ascomycota; Saccharomycetes; Ascoideales; Ascoideaceae
Rfam family: tRNA
About the family: Transfer RNA (tRNA) molecules are approximately 80 nucleotides in length. Their secondary structure includes four short double-helical elements and three loops (D, anti-codon, and T loops). Further hydrogen bonds mediate the characteristic L-shaped molecular structure. tRNAs have two regions of fundamental functional importance: the anti-codon, which is responsible for specific mRNA codon recognition, and the 3' end, to which the tRNAs corresponding amino acid is attached (by aminoacyl-tRNA synthetases). tRNAs cope with the degeneracy of the genetic code in two manners: having more than one tRNA (with a specific anti-codon) for a particular amino acid; and 'wobble' base-pairing, i.e. permitting non-standard base-pairing at the 3rd anti-codon position.
Source: Rfam by way of RNAcentral